Molecule: ribosomal RNA, 1439 nt
Filed under: uncultured Candidatus Pelagibacter sp.
Lineage: Bacteria; Pseudomonadati; Pseudomonadota; Alphaproteobacteria; Candidatus Pelagibacterales; Candidatus Pelagibacteraceae
Description: bacterial SSU rRNA
Rfam family: Bacterial small subunit ribosomal RNA
Source: RNAcentral
AGGGUUUGAUCCUGGCUCAGAACGUACGCUGGCGGCACGCCUAACACGUGCAAGUCGAACGAAGUAGCAAUACUUAGUGGCAGACGGGUGAGUAACAUGUGGGUAUCUGCCCUUUGGCCUGGAAUAACACGAGGAAACUUGUGCUAAUACCGGAUAAGUCUUUACGGAGAAAGCUUUAUGCACCAUUGGAUGAGCCCGCACUUGAUUAGUUUGUUGGUGGGGUAAUGGCCUACCAAGACUGUGAUCAAUAGCUGAUUUGAGAGGAUGAUCAGCCACAUUGGGACUGAGACACGGCCCAAACUCCUACGGGAGGCAGCAGUGGGGAAUCUUGCACAAUGGAGGAAACUCUGAUGCAGCGAUGCCGCGUGAGUGAAGAAGGCCCUUGGGUUGUAAAGCUCUUUCGUCGGGGAAGAAAAUGACUGUACCCGAAUAAGAAGGUCCGGCUAACUUCGUGCCAGCAGCCGCGGUAAUACGAAGGGACCUAGCGUAGUUCGGAAUUACUGGGCUUAAAGAGUUCGUAGGUGGUUGAAAAAGUUGGUGGUGAAAUCCCAGAGCUUAACUCUGGAACUGCCAUCAAAACUUUUCAGCUAGAGUAUGAUAGAGGAAAGCAGAAUUUCUAGUGUAGAGGUGAAAUUCGUAGAUAUUAGAAAGAAUACCAAUUGCGAAGGCAGCUUUCUGGAUCAUUACUGACACUGAGGAACGAAAGCAUGGGUAGCGAAGAGGAUUAGAUACCCUCGUAGUCCAUGCCGUAAACGAUGUGUGUUAGACGUUGGAAAUUUUUUCAGUGCCGCAGCGAAAGCGAUAAACACACCGCCUGGGGAGUACGACCGCAAGGUUAAAACUCAAAUGAAUUGACGGGGACCCGCACAAGUAGUGGAGCAUGUGGUUUAAUUCGAAGAUACGCGCAGAACCUUACCAACACUUGACAUGUUCGUCGCGACUUUAAGAGAUUAAAGUUUUCGGUUCGGCCGGACGAAACACAGGUGCUGCAUGGCUGUCGUCAGCUCGUGUCGUGAGAUGUUGGGUUAAGUCCCGCAACGAGCGCAACCCUCACUUUUAGUUGCCAUCAUUAAGUCGGGCACUCUGAAAGAACUGCCAGUGAUAAGCUGGAGGAAGGUGGGGAUGACGUCAAGUCCUCAUGGCCCUUACGUGUUGGGCUACACACGUGCUACAAUGGUAUCUACAACAGGAAGCAAGACGGCGACGUCAAGCAAAUCCUUAAAAGAUACCUCAGUUCGGAUUGCACUCUGCAACUCGAGUGCAUGAAGCUGGAAUUACUAGUAAUCGUGGAUCAGCGUGCCACGGUGAAUGCGUUCCCGGGUCUUGUACACACCGCCCGUCACACCAUGGGAGUUGGUUCUACCUUAAGGCAAGGUUUAAAACCCUUGACCACGGUAUAGUCAGCGACUGGGGUGAAGUCGUAACAAGGUAGCCAAGGG